UAACAAGGAUUCCCCUAGUAACUGCGAGUGAAGCGGGAAGAGCUCAAAUUUAAAAUCUGGCGGUCUUCUGGCUGUCCGAGUUGUAAUCUGGAGAAGCGUUUUCUGUGUUAGACCGUGUACAAGUCUCCUGGAACGGAGCGUCAUAGAGGGUGAGAAUCCCGUCCAUGACACGGACUACUAAUACUUUGUGAUACGCUCUCGAAGAGUCGAGUUGUUUGGGAAUGCAGCUCAAAAUGGGUGGUAAAUUCCAUCUAAAGCUAAAUACAGGCGAGAGACCGAUAGCGAACAAGUACCGUGAGGGAAAGAUGAAAAGCACUUUGGAAAGAGAGUUAAACAGUACGUGAAAUUGUUGGAAGGGAAACGCUUGAAGUCAGUCGCGUUGUGCAGAACUCAGCCUUGCCUCGGCUUGGUGUACUUUCUGCACAACGGGUCAACAUCAAUUUUGGCCCAUGGAGAAAGGUGGGGGGAAUGUAGCGCUGUUUCGGCAGCGUGUUAUAGCCCUCUAUUGUAUACAUGGGCUGGGAUUGAGGAUCGCAGCACGCCCUUGUGGCCGGGGGUUCGCCCUACGUACCGUGCUUAGGAUGUUGGCAGAAUGGCUUUAAGCGACCCGUCUUGAAACACGGACCAAGGAGUCUAACAUGCUUGCAGUGUUCGGGUGGAAAACCCUUGUGCGUAAUGAAAGUGAAAGUUGGGAACCUCCGCAAGGGGGUGCACCGACGCCCGGCCCUGACGUUCUCUGACGGUGCUGCGGUAGAGCAAGUAUGCUAGGACCCGAAAGAUGGUGAACUAUGCCUGAAUAGGGCGAAGCCAGAGGAAACUCUGGUGGAGGCUCGUAGCGAUUCUGACGUGCAAAUCGAUCGUCAAAUUUGGG
This 871-nucleotide ribosomal RNA is filed under the name Phellinus hartigii. RNAcentral's name for it is "eukaryotic LSU rRNA". It matches the Rfam family "Eukaryotic large subunit ribosomal RNA", at positions 66 to 915 of the family's 3401-position model. The record is from RNAcentral. Lineage: Eukaryota; Fungi; Basidiomycota; Agaricomycetes; Hymenochaetales; Hymenochaetaceae.